This 569-nucleotide ribosomal RNA is filed under the name uncultured bacterium. RNAcentral's name for it is "partial 16S ribosomal RNA". It matches the Rfam family "Bacterial small subunit ribosomal RNA", at positions 355 to 1375 of the family's 1533-position model. The record is from RNAcentral.
UGGGGAAUAUUGGACAAUGGGCGGAAGCCUGAUCCAGCAACGCCGCGUGAGGGAUGACGGCCUUCGGGUUGUAAACCUCUUUCAGUACCGACGAAGCGAAAGUGACGGUAGGUACAGAAGAAGGACCGGCCAACUACGUGCCAGCAGCCGCGGUAAUACGUAGGGUCCGAGCGUUGUCCGGAAAUUAUUGGGCGUAAAGGGCUCGUAGGCGGUUUGUCGCGUCGGGAGUGAAAACAGCGGGCUUAACUCGUUGCUUGCUUUCGAUACGGGCAGACUAGAGGUAUGCAGGGGAGAAUGGAAUUCCUGGUGUAGCGGUGAAAUGCGCAGAUAUCAGGAGGAACACCGGUGGCGAAGGCGGUUCUCUGGGCAUUACCUGACGCUGAGGAGCGAAAGUGUGGGGAGCGAACAGGAUUAGAUACCCUGGUAGUCCACACCGUAAACGUUGGGCGNUAGGUGUGGGGUCCUUUCCACGGAUUCCGUGCCGUAGCUAACGCAUUAAGCGCCCCGCCUGGGGAGUACGGCCGCAAGGCUAAAACUUAAAUGAAUUGACGGGGUCAUAGCUGUUUCCU